RNAcentral lists this ribosomal RNA (403 nucleotides) under uncultured bacterium. Its description in RNAcentral is "bacterial SSU rRNA". It matches the Rfam family "Bacterial small subunit ribosomal RNA", at positions 355 to 775 of the family's 1533-position model. The record is from RNAcentral.
UGGGGAAUCUUGGACAAUGGGCGCAAGCCUGAUCCAGCCAUGCCGCGUGGGCGAUGAAGGUCUUCGGAUUGUAAAGCCCUUUUGGCGGGGACGAUAAUGACGGUACCCGCAGAAUAAGCUCCGGCUAACUUCGUGCCAGCAGCCGCGGUAAUACGAAGGGGGCUAGCGUUGUUCGGAAUUACUGGGCGUAAAGCGUGCGCAGGCGGUUUUUCAAGUCAGAGGUGAAAGCCCCGGGCUCAACCCGGGAAUGGCCUUUGAGACUGGAUGGCUAGAGUGUGAGAGAGGUGAGUGGAAUUCCCAGUGUAGAGGUGAAAUUCGUAGAUAUUGGGAAGAACACCCGUGGCGAAGGCGGCUCACUGGCUCGCAACUGACGCUCAUGCACGACAGCGUGGGGAGCAAACAG